AUGGGUUUCAUGAAUCACCAUAUCCAGAGAUUCGUCGACACAGCUUGUUGCCAGUCGAAGAAGGAUUGGCCGGUGCUGCCGGCUGGUGUCAAGUUUGAUCCCACGGAUCAGGAGCUGAUCGAGCACCUUGAGGCCAAAGUGAGUGUUGACAGCGCGAGAUUUCAGUCUCUCAUUGAUUUGUUCAUACCAACCAUCGACAGCGAGCACGGCAUAUGCUACACCCAACCUAAGAAACUUCCAGCAAAAAAGGUUCUGGUGCUGCACACCAACAAGAACUUCGACCAGCAGAGGGCCAACUGGGUGAUGCACCAGUACCACCUCGGGGACCUGGAGCAAGAGAAGGAGCGGGAGCUAGUCCUCUGCAAGAUUUUCUACCAGACGAACACUAGGGCCAGGAGUAGUUUAGUAUUGGUAGUUGUACUACCUUGUCGUCCGCAAGUUGGUAUUGUUGUUAACGAUCUUUUGGCCCAGCCCAUGACGACAACAGGGCACAAAGAUCCAGCAGGUAUCUACUGGCCUCUGGCCCGCCAGCGUUAG
This 537-nucleotide ribosomal RNA is filed under the name Triticum aestivum (bread wheat). RNAcentral describes it as "partial small subunit ribosomal RNA". The record is from RNAcentral. Lineage: Eukaryota; Viridiplantae; Streptophyta; Magnoliopsida; Poales; Poaceae.